UUUUAAUGUUAAAUAGUACAUGUUUUAUUGUUUUACUUACUAUAAAAUUAUAACAAUAUAGAACAAACAUUAUCGGUACUAUCCAAAACUAACCAGAUAUAUAUUUUACAACAAAUUAUAAUAGAGUAGUGAGAUAUUCAAAGAUCAUGUCCAUAAAAAAAAUUAAUAUUUGAUGUGCAGUUGAAACAAAUACACCGAGCAUCCCUUGUAUAUUCACAUGCUUAUCAGUUAUGUAAUAAUCAUACAUUUUACUUUUUUCUAAUUCUUUUAAUUGAGUCGCAGUCAUCAUUUGUCGUUUUUCAAGUUUAUUAGCUUUGAUUAAGUCUAUAGACUCAAUCGCCUUCUGAUAAUUAGCUAUUUAUGAUUGACUAAAUUAAAACAAAAAAUUCACAGUAUAAAUGAUGGUGUCUUAGAAUAGAAGUUGCAAAGGGAAAAGAUCGUCUCUCGAGACGUAAAAUGCCACAGACUUAGAGGUAUACAUAAUAUGGUGUGAUAUAACAUUAUGACCUAAUUAAAAAUUGUAUGAAUCUAUUGUCAA
This is a non-coding RNA of Biomphalaria pfeifferi, 538 nucleotides long. The record is from the annotation of a GenBank genome assembly. NCBI's taxonomy places the organism in Eukaryota, Metazoa, Mollusca, Gastropoda, Planorbidae.